CUCAAACUCAGACCUUGCACUUGCCAGGCAGGCAUGGCACCACUGAGCCACAUACCUCGCUGGAGUUGGCCUUCUAAGGAGUUAUCUCCAUUCCACAGAAAAGGCAGCUCUUCCUUCUGAUUCUGAAAUUCCCUGUGCAGACAGCACAACGCCUAUUGGAACCUGAGGAAACGCAGGACCAGGCCCGGGGUUGCGGAAGUGCUGCUCUCCCCCACCGGCCUCAUCUGACCUGGAAGAUGCUAGCAGGUCAACUUCAAGAUUAUUUACUGGUCAUUAUGCAGCUGCCACCUCCCUCCAUCCCCAGAACUUCGUUCUUCCACUCAGAAACUGUUCACAUUGUGCAACAUCUGUCCAGCCCCGCUUUACACUUGUUUAAAAUAAG
Fukomys damarensis (Damara mole-rat) is the source of this 382-nucleotide long non-coding RNA. RefSeq lists it as uncharacterized. The record is from RefSeq and is a predicted model, not a curated record. NCBI's taxonomy places the organism in Eukaryota, Metazoa, Chordata, Mammalia, Rodentia, Bathyergidae. The transcript is spliced from 4 exons.